GACGAACGCUGGCGGCGUGCUUAACACAUGCAAGUCGAACGGAAAGGCCCUGCUUUUGUGGGGUGCUCGAGUGGCGAACGGGUGAGUAACACGUGAGUAACCUGCCCUUGACUUUGGGAUAACUUCAGGAAACUGGGGCUAAUACCGGAUAGGAGCUCCUGCUGCAUGGUGGGGGUUGGAAAGUUUCGGCGGUUGGGGAUGGACUCGCGGCUUAUCAGCUUGUUGGUGGGGUAGUGGCUUACCAAGGCUUUGACGGGUAGCCGGCCUGAGAGGGUGACCGGCCACAUGGGGACUGAGAUGCGGCCCAGACUCCUACGGGAGGCAGCAGUGGGGAAUAUUGCACAAUGGGCGGAAGCCUGAUGCAGCAACGCCGCGUGCGGGAUGACGGCCUUCGGGUUGUAAACCGCUUUCGCCUGUGACGAAGCGUGAGUGACGGUAAUGGGUAAAGAAGCACCGGCUAACUACGU
RNAcentral lists this ribosomal RNA (467 nucleotides) under uncultured bacterium. RNAcentral's name for it is "partial 16S ribosomal RNA". It matches the Rfam family "Bacterial small subunit ribosomal RNA", at positions 28 to 506 of the family's 1533-position model. The record is from RNAcentral.